Molecule: long non-coding RNA, 425 nt
Organism: Gymnogyps californianus (California condor)
Lineage: Eukaryota; Metazoa; Chordata; Aves; Accipitriformes; Cathartidae
Exons: 4
Source: RefSeq, a predicted model, not a curated record
AAGCUGCAGACUUAUCUUCCCUCCAUCAUCUGAUAUUCAAAGUGCAAUUCUUUCAGCAUCUUAAGGCCUUCAAUAAAAUUUUCUGAUUUUGGAAUGCAAUUCCACUUGCUUAAAAAGGAGCAUUGAAUAACAAAGUCAGCAAAUACAAUAUGUUAAUCCUCUGGCUGCUCUGAAGUCUUCACACAGUCAUUUGACUGGCGAAUUGGAAGAAUGACAGCAGCAGCAUGGAUAUUGCAUCCCUUCUUUCCAGCAGAGAGGCACAGAGAGGCGUCUAAAUCUCUGCUACAUCCGUCUCCUAAGUCUCUUCCAUUUUCUGAAAUGUUGGCUGCAGCUGAGUUUCGCUGCCUGAUACCUAACAUCAUGAAGGUGUCCCAGCUGCAUGGAUUGCCGCCACCUAGUAGACAGCCCUUGUGGAGUGGCCCCUG